AGAAGAACCCCUGAUGCCGUCGAGCCAAGAAAAGUUUCUAAGUUUAGCUAAUGUUGCCCGUACCGUAAACCGACACAGGUGGGUGGGAUGAGUAUUCUAAGGCGCGUGGAAGAACUCUCUUUAAGGAACUCUGCAAAAUAGCACCGUAUCUUCGGUAUAAGGUGUGGUUAGCUUCGUACUAGGAUUUACUCCGAAAGCGAAGAAACUUACAACAAAGAGUCCCUCCCGACUGUUUACCAAAAACACAGCACUCUGCUAACUCGUAAGAGGAUGUAUAGGGUGUGACGCCUGCCCGGUGCUCGAAGGUUAAUUGAUGGGGUUAGCAUUAGCGAAGCUCUUGAUCGAAGCCCGAGUAAACGGCGGCCGUAACUAUAACGGUCCUAAGGUAGCGAAAUUCCUUGUCGGUUAAAUACCGACCUGCAUGAAUGGCGUAACGAGAUGGGAGCUGUCUCAAAGAGGGAUCCAGUGAAAUUGUAGUGGAGGUGAAAAUUCCUCCUACCCGCGGCAAGACGGAAAGACCCCGUGGACCUUUACUACAGCUUGACACUGCUACUUGGAUAAGAAUGUGCAGGAUAGGUGGGAGGCUUUGAGUAUAUGACGCCAGUUGUAUAUGAGCCAUUGUUGAGAUACCACUCUUUCUUAUUUGGGUAGCUAACCAGCUUGAGUUAUCCUCAAGUGGGACAAUGUCUGGUGGGUAGUUUGACUGGGGCGGUCGCCUCCCAAAUAAUAACGGAGGCUUACAAAGGUUGGCUCAGAACGGUUGGAAAUCGUUCGUAGAGUAUAAAGGUAUAAGCCAGCUUAACUGCAAGACAUACAAGUCAAGCAGAGACGAAAGUCGGUCUUAGUGAUCCGGUGGUUCUGUGUGGAAGGGCCAUCGCUCAAAGGAUAAAAGGUACCCCGGGGAUAACAGGCUGAUCUCCCCCAAGAGCUCACAUCGACGGGGAGGUUUGGCACCUCGAUGUCGGCUCAUCGCAUCCUGGGGCUGGAGCAGGUCCCAAGGGUAUGGCUGUUCGCCAUUUAAAGCGGUACGCGAGCUGGGUUCAGAACGUCGUGAGACAGUUCGGUCCCUAUCUGCCGUGGGCGUAAGAAGAUUGAAGAGAUUUGACCCUAGUACGAGAGGACCGGGUUGAACAAACCACUGGUGUAGCUGUUGUUCUGCCAAGAGCAUCGCAGCGUAGCUAAGUUUGGAAAGGAUAAACGCUGAAAGCAUCUAAGCGUGAAGCCAACUCUAAGAUGAAUCUUCUCUAAGCUCUCUAGAAGACUACUAGUUUGAUAGGCUGGGUGUGUAAUGGAUGAAAGUCCUUUAGCUGACCAGUACUAAUAGAGCGUUUGGCUUAUCUUUAAUAAAGCAU
RNAcentral lists this ribosomal RNA (1352 nucleotides) under Campylobacter jejuni. Its description in RNAcentral is "bacterial LSU rRNA". It matches the Rfam family "Bacterial large subunit ribosomal RNA", at positions 1584 to 2925 of the family's 2925-position model. The record is from RNAcentral. Lineage: Bacteria; Pseudomonadati; Campylobacterota; Epsilonproteobacteria; Campylobacterales; Campylobacteraceae.